Molecule: long non-coding RNA, 766 nt
Filed under: Mus musculus (house mouse)
Lineage: Eukaryota; Metazoa; Chordata; Mammalia; Rodentia; Muridae
Description: long non-coding RNA chr13:103506811-103507577
Source: RNAcentral
AGUUAGCCUGGUGGACACAACGGAACAACAAAGAAACCUACUCUUGAAUGAGGUGAAAGGUGAGGCCAGACACUGGAUGUUGUCCUCUGACCUCCAACAAUGUGUCCCACACACAGACAUGACACGCAAACAUCACAUACACAAACACACAUGCAUCAUACAUGCACACACAUUUGUAAGUUAUCAUAGAAUGCUGAUGUCAUUUUGCCAGUUUCAGGGAAUGCAUCACUAUUUUGUAUGUCCCUCCUCCCUCCCAAUAGUUAGCAUAAUUUCUUUAGAUUCUCUGUACAUUUAGAACCACAGCAGACACUUAAAAUUUUUGCUUCCAUUCUCAAAUAAAAAUUAGAAAAUUCAAUAAAAGUCUAUUGCUCUAUUUAUGGUAAUUUUGCUUGCUGUGUUCUUGAUCCUGACGUCUCAAUAUUCCUUCCUGUGUCUCUUCUGGUUGUAGAACUUCCUUUAGCUGCUCCUGUAGCAUAUAUUUGCUGAAGAUGACUCCUUUUUAGGUUAGUGUUUUGAUUUGUUUUUUAUGGUGGGGGGCAGGGUGGGAUGAGGCGUUGGUUUAGCUUUAUUCCUGAAGGUUGUUUUCAGUAAACACAGGAUUUUUUUUUUUCUGACAGUUUCCUUCUGUAAACACCCUGAGAGAUUUUUUACUUCCUGGACUGUGUGGUUGCUGAUGUGAAAUCACCAUCAUUUGAAUUUGUUUGCCUCUCUACAUGGAUGAGGUAAACAUCUCCUGCUGCUUUCAGGAUUUCUCUCCUUGUCUUUG